GACUGGAUAACUUGGUGGCUUUGAAUUAACACCAUGAACACGUUUUAUUUUCCUUUGUUUACUAUCCUGUUUCUGCCUAAUGUUCAAUCACAGAUUUCUCUGUCACUGUCAGUUCCUGAACUAGUGAGACCUUCAGAGACAAUUACAUUAGACUGUAAAGUCACUGGUGCUGCAAUCACUGAUGGCAGUAAAAUUCAUGCUGUGGACUUUAUAAAGCAACUUGUAGAUGGUACAAUUGUGUUUUUGGCUCAUCUUAACUAUGCUCAGGGUACAGCAUACAACCCACUAUUAAAGAAUAGGCUCACCCUGUCAAGAGACACAGCUCAAAAUGAGGUAUCUCUGCAAAUAAGAGAAAUGAAACCAGAAGACACAGCAGUAUAUUACUGUGUCAAGGACACACAGUGUGUAAAAGAAAUGCAAGAACAUACUUUAAAAUGUAGUGACCGGCCAAUAAGAUUUUAA
Molecule: non-coding RNA, 462 nt
Organism: Pelobates fuscus (common spadefoot toad)
Lineage: Eukaryota; Metazoa; Chordata; Amphibia; Anura; Pelobatidae
Source: the annotation of a RefSeq genome assembly